GCUGGUGGAGAAAAGUUCUCUUUGCAAAAAUUUGGAGGAACAACGAGCAGUACUUACUCUACAGUGCACCUCACUGAAGAAUCUAGUAGCUGUCAUGAAGGACCUGUUGGCUUUGAGAAACACUGAAGUCGAGCAGCUAUAUAAAAAUAUGAACGAUAUGGAGGAAAGAAUUAAUUUG
Long non-coding RNA from Homalodisca vitripennis (glassy-winged sharpshooter), 178 nucleotides. RefSeq lists it as uncharacterized. The record is from RefSeq and is a predicted model, not a curated record. Lineage: Eukaryota; Metazoa; Arthropoda; Insecta; Hemiptera; Cicadellidae. The transcript has 2 exons.